CCUACGGGUGGCAGCAGUGAGGAAUAUUGGUCAAUGGGCGAGAGCCUGAACCAGCCAAGUCGCGUGAAGGAUGACGGUCCUACGGGUUGUAAACCUCUUUUGUCAGGGAGCAAUUGGGUCCACGCGUGGGCUUAGCGAGAGUACCUGAAGAAAAAGCACCGGCCAAUCCCGUCCCAGCAGCCGCGGUAAUACGGAGGAUGCGAGGGUUACCCGGAUUUAUUGGGUUAAAGGGGUGCGUAGGCGGAAUAUCAAGUCAGCGGUAAAAAUUCGGGGCUAAACCCCGUCGUGCCGUUGAAACUGAUGUUCUUGAGUGGGCGAGAAGUAUGCGGAAUGCGUGGUGUAGCGGUGAAAUGCAUAGAUAUCACGCAGAACUCCGAUUGCGAAGGCAGCAUGCCGGCGCCCAACUGACGCUGAGGCACGAAAGCGUGGGUAUCGAACAGGAUUAGAUACCCGAGUAGUC
This 460-nucleotide ribosomal RNA is filed under the name uncultured bacterium. Its description in RNAcentral is "partial 16S ribosomal RNA". It matches the Rfam family "Bacterial small subunit ribosomal RNA", at positions 338 to 795 of the family's 1533-position model. The record is from RNAcentral.